GCAGGAGUGGCGAAAUUGGUAGACGCGCUAGUUUUAGGCACUAGUGGAGCGAUCCAUGGAGGUUCAAGUCCUCUCUCCUGCA
This 82-nucleotide transfer RNA is filed under the name Candidatus Kaiserbacteria bacterium. Its description in RNAcentral is "tRNA-Leu". It matches the Rfam family "tRNA". Rfam says of the family: Transfer RNA (tRNA) molecules are approximately 80 nucleotides in length. Lineage: Bacteria; Candidatus Kaiseribacteriota. The record is from RNAcentral. RNAcentral also lists the same sequence under 1 other name.